RNAcentral lists this long non-coding RNA (1279 nucleotides) under Phascolarctos cinereus (koala). Its description in RNAcentral is "lncRNA (ENSPCIG00000035619.1)". The record is from RNAcentral. Lineage: Eukaryota; Metazoa; Chordata; Mammalia; Diprotodontia; Phascolarctidae.
UCGCCGCCUGUAGUCAGCCUCCUAAGCCUGCCUCCUUUGGUCCUCGGCACCUCCUCCUUGGCUCAACUAGGGGCCGCCCCGCACCUCCAGCCCCGGCUGGCCCGCUGGGAGCUGCAGAAAUUCGCUGUCUCCCUCUAUCCCACCUGGGAGAUGAGGAAACUGGGGUCCAUAGAAGUCUAAGGACUUGUCCAAGGUCACAGAGUGACAAAACCAGUACAAGAACUUACUCUCCUGUGUUCUUUCCACCACAUCGACAACCUUUGCUAAGAAGUUGUUACAGUGACCUUCUUCCAUGGAACUCCCGUAUUCCUUCUGGUCUCUAUAGCUCAUAUUACUUCUCAAAUAUAUCUUGCUUUGUGAUAUCUGUAUUGUUUUCUGCCUUUCCUAAAUAUUUUUCUAUUAUUUGAUUUUAUAUGUAUUUGCUCUGUUUUCCCAAUUGAACUGUACUUUUUUACAGGGUAGAGAUUGGAGCAGCUAGGUGGUGCAGUGGACAGAGUGCUGGGCCUGAAGAUGAGUCUUCCUGAGUUCCAAUCCAGCCUCAGCCACUUACUGUGUGAUACUGGUCAAGUCACUUAACCCCAAUUGCCUGAAAAAUAAAUAAAUAAAGGAGUUGGAAGAAACCACGGCGAGCAUCCUGUCCAGUCCCCUCACUUUGUAGAUGAGGAAACUAGAACCCAGAGAAUUCGGUGAUUUGCUCAUGAUCCAACAGCUGGUUAAUGGCAGAGCCCAGGAUGACAACCCCCCCCCAGGUUCUCUCCCCAGCCCCCACCCCCAGGGUGGGAUGCAGUCCUGGGUUCCAGUCCCUUCUUCACCACUUAAAAGCUGCAUGACUUUGGACCUGUUACUGAACCCAUGGGGACCUUUGACUCUUCUGCUAUAAAAGAAGGAAUCCUCUCCAGGGUCCCUUUCAGCUCUUACAUUCAAUGAUGCUAUCACCAAAGUUUUCAGCAUUCUCUGAUUUUAAUUGAGGUUGCAUAUCCUCCUCUUAGGGCAGCUAAGUAGUGUAGUAGGUAGAGUUCUGGCCUCGCAGUCAGGAAUGUGCGUCUUUCUGAGUUCAAAUCUGGCCUUAGACACUUAUUAACUGUGUGGCCCUGGGCAAGUCAUUUGACCCUGUUUGCCUCAGUUUCCUCAUUUGUAAAAUGAACUGGAGAAGGAAAUGGCAAACCGCUCCACUAUUUCUGUGAAGAAAACCCCAAAUGGGGUCGUGAAGAGUCAGACACAACUGAAAAGACUGAACAACAACAAUAAACCUCCUCUUGAGUUGACUGGGCUAUCUUCU